RNAcentral lists this ribosomal RNA (367 nucleotides) under uncultured organism. RNAcentral's name for it is "bacterial SSU rRNA". It matches the Rfam family "Bacterial small subunit ribosomal RNA", at positions 526 to 896 of the family's 1533-position model. The record is from RNAcentral.
CGGAGGGUGCAAGCGUUAUCCGGAUUCACUGGGUUUAAAGGGUGCGUAGGCGGAUUUUUAAGUCCGUGGUGAAAUCUCCGAGCUUAACUCGGAAACUGCCAUGGAUACUAUGAGUCUUGAAUGUUGUGGAGGUUUGCGGAAUAUGUCAUGUAGCGGUGAAAUGCUUAGAUAUGACAUAGAACACCGAUUGCGAAGGCAGCAGGCUACACAAAUAUUGACGCUGAGGCACGAAAGCGUGGGGAUCAAACAGGAUUAGAUACCCUGGUAGUCCACGCCCUAAACGAUGAUUACUCGACAUUUGCGAUACACAGCAAGUGUCUGAGCGAAAGCAUUAAGUAAUCCACCUGGAAGUACGACCGCAAGGUUG